RNAcentral lists this transfer RNA (90 nucleotides) under Candidatus Woesebacteria bacterium RIFCSPHIGHO2_01_FULL_38_9b. Its description in RNAcentral is "tRNA-Ser". It matches the Rfam family "tRNA". From Rfam's summary of the family: Transfer RNA (tRNA) molecules are approximately 80 nucleotides in length. Their secondary structure includes four short double-helical elements and three loops (D, anti-codon, and T loops). The record is from RNAcentral. Lineage: Bacteria; Candidatus Woeseibacteriota.
GGUGGGAUGCUGGAGAGGUCUAACAGGCUGGUUUCGAAAACCAUGCGAGCCGUAAGGUUCACGGGGGUUCAAAUCCCUCUCCCACCGCCG